ACAGAGCCUUAGUAGUAUAACGAAUACACUGGUC
RNAcentral lists this transfer RNA (34 nucleotides) under Crocidura cf. tanakae. RNAcentral's name for it is "partial tRNA-Thr". Lineage: Eukaryota; Metazoa; Chordata; Mammalia; Eulipotyphla; Soricidae. The record is from RNAcentral.